GUCCACGCCCUAAACUAUGUCAACUGGUUGUUGGGAAGGUUCCUUCUCAGUAACGUAGCUAACGCGUGAAGUUGACCGCCUGGGGAGUACGGCCGCAAGGUUGAAACUCAAAGGAAUUGACGGGACCCGCACAAGCUGUGGAUGAUGUGGUUUAAUUCGAUGCAACGCGAAAACCUUACCUACCCUUGACAUGUCAAGAAUCUUGCAGAGAUGUGAGAGUGCUCGAAAGAGAACUUGAACACAGGUGCUGCAUGGCCGUCGU
RNAcentral lists this ribosomal RNA (262 nucleotides) under uncultured bacterium. RNAcentral describes it as "partial 16S ribosomal RNA". It matches the Rfam family "Bacterial small subunit ribosomal RNA", at positions 793 to 1055 of the family's 1533-position model. The record is from RNAcentral.